This 97-nucleotide small nuclear RNA is filed under the name Meriones unguiculatus (Mongolian gerbil). Lineage: Eukaryota; Metazoa; Chordata; Mammalia; Rodentia; Muridae. The record is from RNAcentral.
CUAGCAUUUGAGAGGCAGCAGCAGGAAGAUCACAAUGACACAGAGAAGAUCAGCAUGCAGGGAUGAUACACAUGUUUGUGAAUUGUUCCAUAUUUAA